This 2250-nucleotide long non-coding RNA is filed under the name Eucalyptus grandis. RNAcentral describes it as "long non-coding RNA (EGRA_LNC002513)". Lineage: Eukaryota; Viridiplantae; Streptophyta; Magnoliopsida; Myrtales; Myrtaceae. The record is from RNAcentral.
CUUCUCUCUCUUAUCUCUUCUUCUCUCUCCUCUCUCUUCUCUCCCACUUUUCCCCCCACGUGACCGAAAGCCCCCCUUCCCCUCGUUUCUCGCCCGUGAAAACCAGAGACGAGGAAGAAGAAGCCGCACGGUUGCAACUCGCCGGAGCCGUCGCCGCCCGCACCGCCGCCCGGACGCCCACCGCUCGCCGCCGUUCCGUCGUCCGCGCGCCCCCGUGUCUUCAGCUCACUGCCGUCCCUCCCCCGUGCGAGUCCAACCGCUGCCCAGCUCAGUCCGGCGCCUCCAGCCACCGCCUACCGCCGUCCGGCCACCGCCUACCGCCGUCCGGCCACCGCGCCACCCCCCAACGUCCCUCUCGGUCUCCGCCGGCCUCCCCUCGCCGCCCUAGCCACUGGACGAGCUUCGUCCAGCCAAGAACAGUGGCUGGAAAAAUGGGUUUCCAGCCCUGUUCAAGGCCCGUUUUGGGCCCUUUCCGGGCCCCGAACCCGAGCCGUGCUUUGGGAAGAAUCGUUCCUCGCGUCGCCCCCGUCGGAUUGAUCCGAUUUGCGCGCGAUUUAGUGAGUAAUCUCACUAAUCCCGGAUUAGUUGGCUAAUUAUGCUUAAGGUUGGUUUAGUUUUAAUUAAUUAUGUUUAGGUUGUUAUAUUAGAAUAAAUUAGCAAUUAUUAGUCAAAUGUGAUGCGAUUUAGAUAAAUUGAUUGCGCAAUUAGCAAGUAAACGUGGUCUACUAAUUAUUGGAAGUGCCUCAGGAUUUUUUUCCGAUCCUUUAGGCUUUUCGGGCCUAAGUAGAAUUUUUAGUAUUUAAAUAUUAAUUUUCAGAAUUAAAUUAAAUAAUUAUUUAUUUUCCAAAAAUUCAACUGAGAUGGUCCGGAACCAGAAUUUUAUACUGAUGACCGUGGGGGAGUCCGUUUAUUUAAUCGGGCUUUAUUUUGAGCUAAAUUGAAUUUUUAAUAUUAAUUAUUUAAUUUUCGAAAUUAAUUAAUUAAUUAUUUAUUUUCCGAAAAUUCAAUUGAGAUGGCUAGUGACCGGAAAAUUAUGCUGAUGACCGUGGCGUGGUCCGCUUAUUUAAUUGAGUUGUAAUUUGUAUGGAAUUGAUUUAAUUAUGAAUUUUUAAGAUAUAUUCCUAAACGGUUGUUGUUAAUGAUUUCAUUGAGAAAUUGUUGGGUAUUGAUUGUCGAUGUCGAAAGUGGUCGAGUGGGACCGUAAAGCCAUUGAAUUUCGAAAGUGGUCGAGUGGGACCGUAAAGCCAUUGAAUAUCGAAAGUGGUCGAGUGGGACCGUAAAGCCAUUGAAUUUCGAAAGUGGUCGAGUGGGACCGUAAAGCUAUUGAAUUUCGUAAGUGGUCGAGUGUGAUUGUAAAGCCAUUGAAUUUCGAAAGUGGUCGAGUGGGACCGUAAAGUCAUUGAAUUUCGAAAGUGGUCGAGUAGGACCGUAAAGCCAUUGAAUAUUGAAUGUUAUCGAGUGGUGGACUGUGUCUUCCACCUUUGCUUAAGAUGUGAUCUGAGGAUCGUAGUUCGUAAUUAGGGAUUGAGAUGGAAUAAUCGAAUCGACCUAGAAAUGGUCUGACUGACAUGUAAUCGACUAGGUCGAUUGAUCAUUGCUUUGAUUUGAUGUCGUGAAUUGAUUGACUGAUUGGAAAGGACUGUGAGUGGUCUUGUUGGCAUGUAAUCGAUUAGAUCGAUUUGAUCGAUGCUUCGAUCAGUGAUAUGAUUGCUUGGGUGCCUAUUAUGAAUUGUACUGACUUGCAGGUGGGAUCUGAGGCCAAGGUAAGUUCUCUGCCCUGUGCGUGUUUAUGCAACCUAUAGUAUAAUGGUUUACUAAUCAGGCUUAGUGGGGUAGAACUCGCUGAGACGUAGUCUCAUCCCAGUUUGGGGAAAACAUUUCAGGACCCCGAUGAGGAGUUGAUGAGGAGUCUGAGAAGGAGAACUCGGAGGUGAAACUUAAGGAGAAAGGUUUUUGGGAGAAGAAGAUAAUCCCGAGAAGAGCCUUAAGUAUAGCCUGGAUGGCUGAGAGUUUAUCUUAUUUUGAGAUCUCCUUUUUGAUGUGAUUAAAGUUUAGAGUAAAAAGUUGUAGAGUGCUCUGGUUUGUGUUUUGUACAAAAGUUUGAUUAUAAAUUUCAAUAUGAAAAAUAUGGCCCUGAUUUUCUAUCCCAUCGUUUUAUUGUCUGGGGAUUUUAACUGCUUCCACAUGUGCGUAAUAAAUGAAAGGGUCGGCGAUACAUUGUCCUGGAAUAUCGCAUUAUAAAAUCGACCA